GCCACUGCGCAUGCGCCCUGGGCGUGCGCCCGCCCCAGGAAGAGCGCUCUCGCGAACUGCGGCGGGGGCGGCCAGGCCACCGGAGGGAAGCGGGUGUGGUCCAGGCCGCCCGGGCUGCGGGGGCUGGGACCAACCUGGAAGGGCGGAGCCGGGGAAGGAAGGUUGUCCUGCCCGGCUGAGGGCUCCUCGGGUUCCGGAGGCCACAGUCAGGCCGUGCGGCGCCUCUUCAGGGCAGACCUGCCUCCAGGGCUGUCUCUGCUCUGCGGAGUCCUUUGCUCAGGGCGGAGGAUUUUCCUAUUGGCUGCGUUAUUUGAAUGGAAUUGAGGAGAGAUAGGUCGUGCAUUAAGCGCUUGUGAUUUCUCUCGCUAACGAACUCGGAUGAACUUACUGAGAACCUUUUAAAAGUGGGGUCUGGGUAGGCGAGGGCUUCGGUGGUAGUUACCUCAGAUCUCAGCCCAGGGUGACCGCCUGGUGACAGGUUGACCUGUGGUACUUGCAGUGGCUAUCAGCCUUCACUGUGGAAACGUAUUUCCUCUUAUGCUUGUUUUUUGUUGCUGUGUGUGUGUGUGUGUGUGUGUGUGUGUGUGUGUGUUUUCCCUCUCAGGCGUAUUUUGGGUCCUCUUUCCCUUCCUUCAGUGCUUUAAGCCUGUCCAGUACUGCCCCGUGCUUAGCUCAGCCUUGUUACUGGCCCUGACCUUUUAAGGGAUUUCUGGUUCCUGCUCCAUCGCUUUCUAAGGAUGGGUAAAGACCCAGCUGCUGCUAGAGUUCAAAAGGAAUGUUAAUAUUACGCAGUUGAUUUAACUGGUAUUUAUUGAAUACUUACUAUGAGCCAGUCAUUGUUCUAGGCACUGGUGAUAAAAUGAUGAUAACGACAUUUUAAAACCACCUUUUGAGGUCACGUGUUAAAAAACCAAUUUGUCGCAAUCAUAGAGGGUUUUAAACUUUGUCUUGUAUGAUACCACGCACACAUGAUUUAUAACAAAUACUAAUGUCUUUUGAACCAUCUAUUUGUAAUCUCCACCAAUUGAUAUUUUUCUAAGCAAUACAUUGCUUUCACCCACUAUUUUCUAGAGUAUUUAGAGCCAAAAUAAGAAAUCGUAAAAAGUUACCACUGAAUGGAACUUUAGGGAUCAUUUAGACUGAGUCCCCAAAGAACUAAUUGAUUUACUUAAUUUUUCUCAGCAGCAGAAUUAGAAUUCCUUCAGCAAAUAAGUACCUGUACUGGGUCAUUCGUUGUUCUGGAUGCUGGAAAUAUAGCACUAAACAUUUAAGCUUCUCUUAUUCUCCAGUAAACUACAUUACAGCUAUCAUAUUGAGAAAUUUUUUAAAAAUUGAGUGAAGUGUGAUUAGGAAACCACCUGACUGUGAGACUGAAUUUUCUGAACAGCAGUUACUGGAUUAGUAAUAGAACCCAAGUGAGAGUAAAAAUACUUCCUCUGAAAUUACUGUAGGAAUAGAAAGUGACUAUAAAAUGCAUAAAAUGCAGCAAUAAUAAUAUCAGACCUUUGAAUAAGAUGGUGUUAGGUGCUGGAGAACUUGUAGCACUAAAAUACAAAAUUCCUAUCCACUUUAAGAACUUCAGAGCUCUUAGAAUAAAAGAAAGGAAUUUGAAGAUUGCCUUGUCAGCUCUUCUAUCUACCUAGAAAAACUGACAGCUUAUCUUUACUAUUUCCCAAGAAUGUUAUGGUCUAUUUGGUAGCUCUUAAAAGUACCCUGGAAUAUAGAUUGUUAUCUUAAGUUUUGAUUUGGUCAAGGGUUUGGUGGGAAGUAGGUUAUUUCUGACUCAACCUCUUACUUCAGGAGUAAAAUUCAUCAGUAAAACAAUUAAUUAGUUAAAUAUCAGUUUCCAAAAGCUACCAGUGGAAAACAAAACAAAACAAAAAUCCACCUGGGCUAUGAAUAUAUGCAAAUUUCACCGAGGUUCGUUUUCCUUCCCCAGCUCUAAGAGUCAAGAAGUUCUGUGUUAGUCUCAUUGGAAGUGCUUGUUAAACUGCCACUUGCUUUGCCUUUUUAGGGAGAUUUUUUUUUCUUUUUUUUUAACUGAAGUGUAGUCAGCUUACAAGGUUGUAUCAAUUUCUGCUGUACAACAUAAUGUUAUAGUCAUACAUAUACAUACAUAAAUUCCUUUUCAUUGUCUCUUCCAUUAUAGGUUACUACAAGAUAUUGAAUAUAGUUCCCUGUGCUAUACAGUAGAAACUUGUUUAUCUGUUUUAUAUGUAGUAGUAUCUGCAAAUCUCGAAUUUCCAAUUUAUCCCUUCCGACCCUUUUCCCCCCUGAUAACCAUAAGUUUGUUUCUUAUGUCUAUGAAUCUGUUUCUGUUUUGUAAAUAAGUUCAUUUGUCUUUUUUUUUUUUUUUUAGAUUCCACAUAUAAGUGAUAUCUUAUGGUAUUUUUCUUUCUCUUUCUAGCUUACUUCAUUUAGAAUGACCAUAUCCAGGUUCAUCUAUGUUGCUGCAAAUGGCAUUAUUGUUUUCUUUUUAAUGGCUGAGUAGUAUUCCAUACCAUAUAUAUAUCACAACUUCUUUAUCCAGACAUCUGUCAAUGGACAUUUAGGUUGUUUUCAUGCCUUGACUAUUGUAAAUAGUGCUGCUGUGAACAUUGGUGUGCAUAUAUCUUUUCGAAUUUGAGUUCCCUCCAGCCCAGGAAUGGGAUUGCUGUAUCAUAUGGAACCUGAAGAAAAGUUUACAGUCUGCUAGCAUUGUAAGAUAUUCAGUCCCACCUAGGCUGUUGACUGCAACCAUCACUGAACCACACUUUUAAACAACGUUUGCAGAGUAUCUCCUACCCAUAGAUAGAGACCUGGAUACUGGACAAUGUAGAGAUGAAUAAAUUGUUUUCCAAGAUUCUCAGAGCUCAAGUGAAGAUGAUUUCAGGGUCGAGAAACAAUAACAACUCUGUAGUGCCCAGAUCUUGAUUAUUAAAGGACCAGAUUUACUUCAAGAAGUGGCUGAUUUUGAGUCUGAGGCAGUUCAGUAAAAGGUGCGCUUGCAAGAUCUUAUGCCAGAAAGCAAGAAAGCCCUCGAAUAUAGGAGCCAUCUUGAAGCAUCUUCCAUUGACCAAAUUUGGCACAAAAGGAGCAUCCCUCCAAAAUAACUCAAUGACCAUAAAAUGUAAAAUAAAUGAAAAUCCAUCAGUUCUGGAGAGAGAGAGAAACUAUUUGCUACCAGUGGAGAUGACAUUAUAUCAACACUUUACUCUGGAAACAGGUAUAUAAAUGGAAGCUCAACUAACUUGCUGAAACUUCCAAACAGUAUUUCCUCGUGGUGAAGAGAGGGGACUUGGAUGUAUCUCUCCCAGACGUUGGUGUACAUGAGAAGGUGUAUCAGUGGGUGCUGACAGUGGAGUCGGGAGGACACCUCUUCCCACAAAAACUGUUAGGAACAAGUGGCCCAGAUUAGAAGUUAAGAAGAAGGAUGUCUACCUGGAGGAGAAUCCCUGAGCAGAGAAAGUAGACAGCAGAAGAAGAGGCAUCACCAAAUGUAAAGGUGUCUGGGCCAGACUUCUGCCUUUUUUGAUUAAACUGUAUAUCAUUGAAUGCCCUGGAGUUCAGAGAUCCUGUUAUACAGGGAGUAGCACAGCACUGUUAAUGUCACGUGUCUACUCUUCUGUCAAGACCUUUUCCAUUGUUCCGUAUUUGGAAUAACAUCUUCUUCAUCAUAUCUUCCCCAUCAUGUCUCCAUUUAAUUCACCAGUCUGGCCCCUACAAAAACCAGAGGGAUCCUGAAAGAUAAUCGUGGAUUACUGUAAACCCAACCAACAUGCAGCCUAAAUUGCUGUUACUGUGCCAGACAUGGUGUCUCAGUCCAAAUGGAACUGGAUAAUCUAGACAUUCUGCCAAACAUCUUCAUGGUCCACCAUAUUGAUAACAUCAAACUAAUUCAGUUAGAUGAUCAAACUAAUUAGACGGGAUGAAUCAAAAGUGGCAAGUACACUGGAGGCUUCAGUGAGACUCAUGCAUUCCAGAGGAUGGAAGGAAUGAUUUCUGUGGAAAUGUGGCUAUUGACAGUGGAUAGUAGUCCAAAUCUCAGUGUUCAAAGGGUGAACUCUUUUCUGAUCUGAGCUGGCCAAGAUCUCCAAGUGCCCUAUUCUACUGGAAGAGAAGUAGGGGUUUCCAGGAGAUGGAAAAAGUAUCCUCGUGGGUUGAAAGCAGAAUUGUGAAAUGGUCAAGAUCCCAGGUUCUGGAGACAGAAUAUUUGGCAUUUAAAUCCUGGUCUUGCUACUUAGUCCCUAGCAUGAUUUACAAUAGCCAAGAUAUGGAAACAAACUAAGUGUCCAUCAAAGGAUGAAUGGAUAAAGAAGAUGUGAUAUAUAUACAAUGGACUACUACUCUGCCAUGAAGAAAGAUGAAUUCUUGCUAUUAGUGACAACGUGGAUGGACUUUGAAGGUAUAAUAAAGGAUUCAUGUCUCAAUAAUGAAGAAGCAGAAAUAUGACUGCUUUGUGGUAGCCUUGUGUAAUCGAUGGCACUGUAUAUGAUCUGUAAGAGUUUGUGUGGGUAAGUUUUGAUAAAUUUUAACCUUUUAUAAUAGAUUUGUGUACAUUUUAUAGUAGUAAGUUAUAAAGUAGUAUCUACAUAUAUUUUACACAUUCAUGACAUGUCUUUUUCUUAUUUGAAAAAAUGUUUUUGUAGGCUAUAUGGUUGGUCUGU
This is a long non-coding RNA of Camelus dromedarius (Arabian camel), 4646 nucleotides long. RefSeq lists it as uncharacterized. The record is from RefSeq and is a predicted model, not a curated record. NCBI's taxonomy places the organism in Eukaryota, Metazoa, Chordata, Mammalia, Artiodactyla, Camelidae. The transcript is spliced from 13 exons.